This 443-nucleotide ribosomal RNA is filed under the name uncultured bacterium. RNAcentral's name for it is "partial 16S ribosomal RNA". It matches the Rfam family "Bacterial small subunit ribosomal RNA", at positions 338 to 795 of the family's 1533-position model. The record is from RNAcentral.
CCUACGGGAGGCAGCAGUGGGGAAUAUUGGGCAAUGGGCGCAAGCCUGACCCAGCAACGCCGCGUGAAGGAAGAAGGCUUUCGGGUUGUAAACUUCUUUUGUCAGGGACGAAGCAAGUGACGGUACCUGACGAAUAAGCCACGGCUAACUACGUGCCAGCAGCCGCGGUAAUACGUAGGUGGCAAGCGUUAUCCGGAUUUACUGGGUGUAAAGGGCGCGUAGACGGGAGCGCAAGUCUGGUGUGAAAACCCAUGGCUUAACCUUGGAACUGCUUUGGAAACUGUGCAGCUUGAGUGCAGGAGAGGUAGAGGGAAUUCCUGGUGUAGGGGUAAAAUGCGUAGAUAUUAGGAGGAAUACUCAUGGCGAAGGCGACCUGCUGGAACGUAACUGACGCUGAUGCGCGAAAGCGUGGGGAGCAAACAGGAUUAGAUACCCGAGUAGUC